This 834-nucleotide long non-coding RNA is filed under the name Prunus persica (peach). Its description in RNAcentral is "long non-coding RNA (PPER_LNC004951)". Lineage: Eukaryota; Viridiplantae; Streptophyta; Magnoliopsida; Rosales; Rosaceae. The record is from RNAcentral.
GACGAAUGAUUUAUAGGUUCUCCUAGUUUUAUGACGUCACAAGUAGGCCGGAGUAAUUUUGGGGGCAUUUUUACGAUUUUCCUACUAUUUUUUACCUAGUUUCAAAGAUUUUUGAACAAAAGAAUCCAAAAUGUAAAAGAAGAUGACACCUGGCGCGAUCUCAGCCCGUCACUUUUCACUACUUGCACAAGUGUACGUCAGUCAACAUGGCCACAUCCUCCCAUUUUACCCUAAAUGAUUAUUUUAUUACCUUUUUUCUUGAAAAAUUCAUAACUAAAUACACAAAAAUUCAAAAUUAUUUCCGAAAAUUGCUACGAACUCAUUGACACUCCAUCUCCGUUGCUGAAUUCUCCGAUUCAUUGUUACGCAUUUGUAAAAUUAAUUCCCAACAUUAACGGGAGAUGCUUGUUGAAGUAGGUUAUUCAAGUUGAAGUUAACAAACAUCAAUACUUAGGGUUAAGAGGAAAGUGAGUUAUGUAACACAAUUUGGAUUAUUUCAUUGCGAGACGAAUGAUUUAUAGGUUCUCCUACUUUUAUGACGUCACAAGUAGGCCGGAGUAAUUUUUGGGGCAUUUUUACGAUUUUCCUACUAUUUCUUACCUAGUUUCAAAGAUUUUUGAACAAAAGAAUCCAAAAUUAACAAGAAUAUGACACCUGGCGCGAUCUCAGCCAGUCACUUUUGACUACUUGCACAAGUGUACGUUACCGAACAUGGCCACAUCCUCCCAUUUUACCCUAAAUUAUUAUUUUAUUACCUUUUUUCUUGGAAAAUUCAUAACUAAAUACACAAAAAUUAGAAAAACGAUCUGAAAAUUUCUACGAACUUAUUGCGAU